RNAcentral lists this ribosomal RNA (653 nucleotides) under uncultured bacterium. RNAcentral's name for it is "bacterial SSU rRNA". It matches the Rfam family "Bacterial small subunit ribosomal RNA", at positions 202 to 874 of the family's 1533-position model. The record is from RNAcentral.
AAAGAUUUAUCGCCUAAGGAUGAGCCCGCGUAGGAUUAGCUUGUUGGUGAGGUAAAGGCUCACCAAGGCGACGAUCCUUAGCUGGUCUGAGAGGAUGAUCAGCCACACUGGGACUGAGACACGGCCCAGACUCCUACGGGAGGCAGCAGUGGGGAAUAUUGGACAAUGGGCGAAAGCCUGAUCCAGCAAUGCCGCGUGAGUGAUGAAGGCCCUAGGGUUGUAAAGCUCUUUUACCCGGGAAGAUAAUGACUGUACCGGGAGAAUAAGCCCCGGCUAACUCCGUGCCAGCAGCCGCGGUAACACGUAGGGCGCAAGCGUUGUCCGGAAUUAUUGGGCGUAAAGAGCUCGUAGGCGGUUUGUCGCGUCUGCUGUGAAAACCUAAGGCUCAACCUUGGGCUUGCAGUGGGUACGGGCAGACUAGAGUGCGGUAGGGGUGACUGGAAUUCCUGGUGUAGCGGUGGAAUGCGCAGAUAUCAGGAGGAACACCGAUGGCGAAGGCAGGUCACUGGGCCGCAACUGACGCUGAGGAGCGAAAGCAUGGGGAGCGAACAGGAUUAGAUACCCUGGUAGUCCAUGCCGUAAACGUUGGGCACUAGGUGUGGGGCUCAUUCCACGAGUUCCGUGCCGCAGCAAACGCAUUAAGUGCCCCGCCU